UGGCGAACGGGUGAGUAACACGUGGGUGAUCUGCCCUGCACUUUGGGAUAAGCCUGGGAAACUGGGUCUAAUACCGAAUAUGACCAUGCACUUCCUGGUGUGUGGUGGAAAGCUUUUGCGGUGUGGGAUGGGCCCGCGGCCUAUCAGCUUGUUGGUGGGGUAAUGGCCUACCAAGGCGACGACGGGUAGCCGGCCUGAGAGGGUGACCGGCCACACUGGGACUGAGAUACGGCCCAGACUCCUACGGGAGGCAGCAGUGGGGAAUAUUGCACAAUGGGCGCAAGCCUGAUGCAGCGACGCCGCGUGAGGGAUGACGGCCUUCGGGUUGUAAACCUCUUUCAGCACAGACGAAGCGCAAGUGACGGUAUGUGCAGAAGAAGGACCGGCCAACUACGUGCCAGCAGCCGCGGUAAU
RNAcentral lists this ribosomal RNA (414 nucleotides) under Mycobacterium sp. M27M9-3. RNAcentral's name for it is "bacterial SSU rRNA". It matches the Rfam family "Bacterial small subunit ribosomal RNA", at positions 96 to 524 of the family's 1533-position model. The record is from RNAcentral. Lineage: Bacteria; Bacillati; Actinomycetota; Actinomycetes; Mycobacteriales; Mycobacteriaceae.